AUAAGUUAAGGCUUUAUGACAAACUUACAAUCGCACUUUCAGACAUGCUUCUCAUGUAAACACUCUACCAAAAAACAAUGUACUGUAAUUUGUGGUUCUAAUGAACUCCAACUAUUUGUCAAUAGUAGAUUUAACUCAAAAACUUGCUUGUCAAUAAUCGAUGAUUCGCCAGUCGCUCUCAUUCAGAAGAUAUCCAAUAAAGUCCUGCUCCUAUGCUCUGCGAUUGAAGAGAGAUGUCAAAUAGAGGAAAUAGAGUUAAUACGAAUUUAUUCAAAUGCAAGCAAAGAAUAUUAACAAUGAAGAGAGAUGGAUAGCAGUAACAAAUGCUGAAACAGACGAGGAACAAGGUAACCAUUCACUCACCUGCUCAUGUAAGAGUUGUCGGUGGUGUUAACGAUAAUCUUGUCCCCUUCUAAGAUAUGUUUUGGUACCUAGAAAAGAGAUAACAUGUAAAGAAGGAAGUCAAGAACAUGCACAGCUACUUCAACUCCAUGAGAUACAUAUUGCUAGAUAUACAUAAUUCACAUUUCCCCGAAUGAAGUAUGUUAGAUAGUUAUGUGUAAAUAAUCAUAGUCCCAUUUAAUAGGAAUAGAAUAUGUCUUAAUCAUAUAUGUAGUAGCAGUAGAAUAUAUCCUAAUUCCAUAUGUAGUAGGAGUAACAACAACAACAACUCACUAUAAUCCCACUUGGUAGGGUCUGGGGAGGGUAGUAUGUACACAGAUCUUAACCCUACCCUUGGGUAGAGAGCCUGCUUCCAAAUAGACCCCCGGCAUCCUUCCCUCCAAGAACCUCCCACCUUGCUCUUAGGGAGACUCGAAC
RNAcentral lists this long non-coding RNA (819 nucleotides) under Nicotiana benthamiana. RNAcentral describes it as "long non-coding RNA (NBEN_LNC042465)". Lineage: Eukaryota; Viridiplantae; Streptophyta; Magnoliopsida; Solanales; Solanaceae. The record is from RNAcentral.